This is a long non-coding RNA of Clupea harengus (Atlantic herring), 3062 nucleotides long. Lineage: Eukaryota; Metazoa; Chordata; Actinopteri; Clupeiformes; Clupeidae. The record is from Ensembl.
UUCUAGUUGUUUCUCCCUGCUCCCUGUUCAACAUGCAGUGUAUUGAUGUGUGAUAUUUCUAGUUGUUUCUCCCUGCUCCCUGUUCAACAUGCAGUGUAUGGUAUGGCACCUACUUCCCCAGCGGACACAGAGAACGGUACAUGUCAGUCCAUGUUUUUUUAAUGUAUUACAAAACAGUCAACACACAAUCAAGUACAAAUGGUUAUCAAGUACAAAGCAGUGUAUUGCGGUACAAAUAUGGCAUGCAGUCAUUUCCCCCCCAAAAAUAUCAUUAAAAACAUGUAAACAUUGCAUAUUAUGGUUAAAGCAUGAAGCUUAAAAUUGGCACCAUUCUUUUUCCUAUUCUACUACGUCUUUUUCUUCUCCUGUGGAUAGUGCUAGUAUUUACAUUUGAAACACAAAGCCUUUGCCAAGGCCUAUCAAUUUUUUUUUCACAACGGAAAAAGUCUUUACAGAAAGCAAGAAUAUAACGACCUACAGUGGAAAGUAUUUCUGGGUCUGAGAUAUGUGUGUGUGUGCGCGUGUGUGUGUGUGUUAGUGUGUCCGUGUGUGUGUGUGUGUGAGAGAGUAUGCACGUGUGUGAGUAAGUGUCUUAAGUCUCAGCUACAUCCUUUAAUCUAAUGAAAACAUACAGCUCCCGGUAUAAGGCAAGGCAGAUCAAAUCCACUAUGAACAGGUAGGGAAGCUUAUAGUUUAAGGCACAAGUCGGAGCGACUGCAUUCUUACGGAAAACCAUAAUACCCCCAAUAUCCCCCCCCCCUGACUCCAUGCCUGUUCUCGAAGAACAACACAACGACAGAGAGAGCGAGAGAGAGAGAGAAAGUACCCAACGUGCAAUGCAAGGGAAUGGCACAACGUGGGACAGGGAACAGGAAGAAUCUAACACGGGCAAGGGAUAACUCCACCAAAAGUGGAUUAGCGGUGCGUCGGCGUCGACUCGUUAGUCCACGACGGUGAGGCGGAUCCAUCGCUGAGUAGAUUACAAGCCGAGAAUCCGGUGCGGCUAUGGCAGAUUAGCGCUAAACUGGAUCACCACCGCGGAAAACAGCUGUAGGGUGGAGUUUACCAAUGACAUAACUCAGCGUGCAGACGACUUGACGCCCCGGAGAAAUGGAAGAAGCGAAAGAAAGAAGGAAAAGAACAAAAUCAAUCAACAUAUCGUAGAUCUACCAAACAUGUGGACCAUCUAAGUGGUUGUGUUGGAGAGGACUUGGAGGGCUGUCAGUGGCAUUUGGAGAUUAGUGCACAGUCUGCCCCCCAUGGUACAGAGGGCCAUAAAGGAACACAGUGAGGCACCUCUGGGCCAGACAAAAGCAUCCAAGUCUGUGAGGAGAGGGGCAAGCAGAGAAAGGCAAAGUGGCUCCCCCCCCUCAUACCGAGGUCGAGGAUGCCCCCCCCCCCCCCCCCAAGACCUCAAAAUGGAGGCUGACAAGGUGGCUUACGCUCUCACUGAACCUUGCAUCAUUUGAUUUAUCAAGAUAUAAUUUUUCAUUCUUCACGCCCAUGCAGGUCUUUAAAAAUCCGCCUUUGGAAAAACGCUGUUUGAUAUGCACUUGUUUAGGAUGACACAAUUCCGAGUUCAAGGUCUUCUUCCACAAUCAUCCAUAACUGGUUGAUGUCUCUUUCAUAGCUCUGUGGAGCAAUCAUUUCGACAACACUUCUCCCAGAUCCCCAUUGAGGGAACGCCAAGCUUUUUCAUCUUCACAUAAGUAUCAUCAAAAUCUGACAAUCAUUUUUUUUUUAGGAAUACAUCUCUGUCAGAUAUAUGAUCCUAAUUCUCCACAAUCAUAGUCUACUGAAGCCUUGAUAGACUACAGGUUUUGCUAAGGCAGAUUUGAAAUCAUCCAAAAUAUAUAUGCCCAAACUAGCGUACAAAGAGAUUACAAAAGCUGAUAAGAAAUAUUAUUUUGGUCUUUUUAAGGACACUGUCCUUAUCUACCACACCCUGAUAGACAAGCAACAUUUUUGGAGAAACUAUCUGUACAAGCCCCGGGGCCUGCGUGUGGUAUUCUGUCCUGACGCCCCGGGGCCUGCGUGUGGUAUUCUGACUGUUUGUGGCACAGGCAUGGAGGCAACUGGAAUCCAGCUUGUGUGCACAGCUGUGUUUAUGAGCAAGCUUGUAUGAAAUAAGCACCAAUAAGUGAAGAUUGCUGUGUGGAGUUGAUUGAAUGAAAAAAAAAAAAAGUGUUUUUCGUGGCUCUUGCAGGUAUGUGUCUCGAGGCCCGUGUGAGUCUGAGGCUAGAGUAUUUCUCUACCCGCUCCACUGACAUGACUGAGGAACAAGAGAAGAACUUGCACCUCUGAUCACUGGGGCCUGUCGUUAUUCUUGUCAGGCUUUUGGUUUAAUCUUUCUUUGUGCACGCACAGACGUAAGCACGCACAAACACACCAAAGAUGUGCAUGUAAGUACACACACACACACACACACACACACAAACACACUCUCACACACACACACACACACACUCACUCACACACCCUGCUGUGUUGUCAGAUGAGUCAGUCACUCUGACAGCCCCAUACACACAGACACUUGUGUGACGUGGCUUACCAUUGUUAAUACUGAACAAUGCCUAUAAUGUACACCCCUCAAUGCUACGUAACUAUCCAACUUGAUCACCUCCAUCCACACAUACGCUGUCCAAAUGCCUAUAAUGUACACCCCUCUAUGCUACGUAACUAUCCAACUUGAUCACCUACAUCCACACAUACCCUGUCCCAUAGCUUGACAUUCUUAAAGCAUUUCUUAUCAAACCCACUUAGACCAGGCAGUGAAUGAAUAGACCAUCCAUUCACCAGUGGCUGCUUUCAUUAUUGAGUACCUGGUCACCAAUCACUAAGCAAGCAACUGAAAAUAUCAGAGCCAACAUGGCAGCCUGCGGGAACAUCCAACGGUUUCCUGUUUUCUUCUCUGGGUCCAUAAAGUCUCCUCUCGGUCCUUUGUUCAGUACAGAUCCAGUUCAGUCCAUCCAGUGAAAGAGAGAAGAAGAGGAGGGAUGGGGUCCUGAUGUGUAUACAAGUCCAGUUUCUAGAUACACAAAGAAAAAGAGCGAGAGAGAGAG